Molecule: ribosomal RNA, 291 nt
Filed under: Triticum aestivum (bread wheat)
Lineage: Eukaryota; Viridiplantae; Streptophyta; Magnoliopsida; Poales; Poaceae
Description: partial small subunit ribosomal RNA
Source: RNAcentral
AUGUGGGGAGGUUCGAUACAAUACAAAACACCCAUGUUAUUUGCUGUAGGGUUCAUCUUUUUGUUCAGCAUAGGAGGGCUCACUGGAAUAGUUCUAGCAAACUCUGGGCUAGACAUUGCUCUACAUGAUACUUAUUAUGUGGUUGCAUAUUUCCAUUAUGUACUUUCUAUGGGAGCCGUUUUUGCUUUAUUUCCUGGAUUUUACUAUUGGGUGGGUAAAAUCUUUGGUCGGACAUAUCCUGAAACUUUAGGCCAAAUCCAUUUUUGGAUCACUUUUUCGGGGUUAAUCUGA